This 119-nucleotide ribosomal RNA is filed under the name Pteropus alecto (black flying fox). The record is from RNAcentral. Lineage: Eukaryota; Metazoa; Chordata; Mammalia; Chiroptera; Pteropodidae.
GUCUACAGCCAUGCAACCUGGAACAAGCCUGAUCUCGUCUGAUCUCAGAAACUAAGCAGGGUUGGGCCUCAUUAGUACUUGGAUGGGAGACCACCUAAUAAGACCAGGUGCUGUAGGUG